UACGUAGGGUGCGAGCGUUGUUCGGAAUCAUUGGGCGUAAAGCGCGCGUAGGCGGCCGUUUAAGUCUCACUGUGAAAGCCCGGGGCUCAACUCCGGGAGGCCAGGGGAUACUGGAUGGCUGGAGAGAGGUAGAGGCGAGCGGAAUUCCGGGUGUAGCGGUGGAAUGCGUAGAGAUCCGGAAGAACACCAGAGGCGAAGGCGGCUCGCUGGACCUGUUCUGACGCUGAGGCGCGAAAGCGUGGGGAGCGAACAGG
RNAcentral lists this unclassified non-coding RNA (254 nucleotides) under uncultured Gemmatimonadota bacterium. Its description in RNAcentral is "uncultured Gemmatimonadetes bacterium contains 16S-23S intergenic spacer region". It matches the Rfam family "Bacterial small subunit ribosomal RNA", at positions 524 to 776 of the family's 1533-position model. The record is from RNAcentral. Lineage: Bacteria; Pseudomonadati; Gemmatimonadota.